RNAcentral lists this ribosomal RNA (444 nucleotides) under uncultured crenarchaeote. Its description in RNAcentral is "partial 16S ribosomal RNA". It matches the Rfam family "Archaeal small subunit ribosomal RNA", at positions 57 to 475 of the family's 1478-position model. Lineage: Archaea; Thermoproteati; Thermoproteota. The record is from RNAcentral.
GUCGWGCGCCUCCRAGCCAUGGUGGAGGCGCGGCGCACAGCUCAGUAACACGUGGCUAACCUACCCUUGGGASGGAAAUAACCCCGGGAAACUGGGGCUAAUUUCCGAUAGGUGAAGACUCCUGGAAUGGAUCUUCGCCGAAAAGGSGUCUAGACCAUGCUUCUAGGCGCUGCCCAAGGAUGGGGCCGCGGCCGAUCAGGUUGUUGGUGAGGUAACGGCUCACCAAGCCUAUAACCGGUACGGGCCGUGGGAGCGGUAGCCCGGAGAUGGGCACUGAGACAAGGGCCCAGGCCCUACGGGGCGCAGCAGKCGCGAAACCUCCGCAAURCGCGAAAGCGUGACGGGGUCAUCCCGAGUGCCGUCCGCUGAGGAUGGCUUUUCCCCAGUGUARACAGCUGGGGRAAUAAGGAGAGGGCAWGUCKGGUGUCCSCCGCCGCGNUAANA